Oncorhynchus gorbuscha (pink salmon) is the source of this 283-nucleotide long non-coding RNA. RefSeq lists it as uncharacterized. The record is from RefSeq and is a predicted model, not a curated record. Lineage: Eukaryota; Metazoa; Chordata; Actinopteri; Salmoniformes; Salmonidae. The transcript has 3 exons.
GCUGUCCUUGACCUCGCCUACGGCCUGGGUGGACCAGGACGGAGAAACGAACACACAGAACAGAACAUGGACACAAUGCAAUUGGGAUCAAGAAGAAGAUAUUCUCAAAAAUGAAUCAAAUCCAUGGAAUGGAUAUAGACAAAACGAAAAUGUAAAGGACUCCGUAAGGCUAGUGGCAAAAUGAUAGCAGAGUUAGAGGUGAGGCAGGGGUGAGGACAUCAUGCUAUUUCUGCAGUCCCUGAAGGACAAUUACAGAAGAGGCACACAGGUAUUUGCUCUUGUU